Molecule: ribosomal RNA, 253 nt
Filed under: uncultured bacterium
Lineage: Bacteria
Description: partial 16S ribosomal RNA
Rfam family: Bacterial small subunit ribosomal RNA
Source: RNAcentral
UACGUAGGGGGCAAGCGUUGUCCGGAAUCAUUGGGCGUAAAGCGCGUGUAGGCGGUUACGUAAGUCUGCUGUGAAAGUCGGAGGCUCAACCUUCGAAAGCCGGUGGAUACUGCGUGACUAGAGUACGGAAGAGGAGAGUGGAAUUCCUGGUGUAGCGGUGAAAUGCGCAGAUAUCAGGAGGAACACCGAUGGCGAAGGCAGGUCUCUGGGCCACUACUGACGCUGAGAAGCGAAAGCAUGGGGAGCGAACAGG